RNAcentral lists this ribosomal RNA (253 nucleotides) under uncultured bacterium. RNAcentral's name for it is "partial 16S ribosomal RNA". It matches the Rfam family "Bacterial small subunit ribosomal RNA", at positions 524 to 776 of the family's 1533-position model. The record is from RNAcentral.
UACGUAGGGUGCGAGCGUUAAUCGGAAUUACUGGGCGUAAAGUAUGCGCAGGUGGCCGCGCAAGUCGAGUGUGAAAGCCCCGGGCUUAACUUGGGAAUUGCGCUCGAAACUACGUGGCUCGAGUGUGGCAGAGGAAGGUGGAAUUCCACGUGUAGCGGUGAAAUGCGUAGAGAUGUGGAGGAACACCGAUGGCGAAGGCAGCCUUCUGGGCCAACACUGACACUCAUGCACGAAAGCGUGGGGAGCAAACAGG